This 1589-nucleotide long non-coding RNA is filed under the name Centruroides sculpturatus (bark scorpion). RNAcentral describes it as "uncharacterized LOC111626166". The record is from RNAcentral. Lineage: Eukaryota; Metazoa; Arthropoda; Arachnida; Scorpiones; Buthidae.
UGUAUCUUUCCUUGACGAUAAUAAAACAAAGUGACAUUAAUUGAGGACUUGCCGUAUACGUAUAUAUCCAGUUAUGUAAAUUAAGAGCUGACAUUUUUGACCUGCAUAUAAAUCCUGAUAUACAAUCAUUGCUUAUAAAUCCCUUUAUAAGCAAUGCUUUAUAUCAGGGAUGCAUUUUAUGUAAUUUUAUAGCUAAAAAUUUCCCGUAUGAAUGAAGGUUCUAAAAUUCAUGAAUUGUCAAGACAAAAUAGAUACAUAUCUUCAAACAUUUAAGUCAUAUUUAGUGUAUUGUUUUGAAUUGUUUGUUAUAAAAAAUGCAAUAAAUUUAAUUGAUAACUGUUGAUCCACAUCAAUCAAUAUUUUAAAAGAAUUUUAUGACCAAACUGUCAUUCAAUUAUUGUUUAUAAGAUUAUUGCUUCUAUUAUUCAGUCAUUCAUGAUUAUGAAUGGUGAAACAAUUUAUAAUUAUUUAUGAUGAAUAUUUUUCAGACUUGAAGUAUGCAGUCGUAUUAUGGCAAUUUUUCAUAGAGGAAGUAGUUCAAGAAGGAUUAACCAAUCCUACUCCAGCUUGUUGUAAUCCAAAAAAAAAGAGAGUUUUAUUGAAGAGGCCAGAAUUUUUGCUAUAAUUCGUAAGAAAAUAAUUAAAAGCAAAGAGACUUAAACUGCUUCAAAAAUGAAUUAUGUUGUGGGAGAAUAAGGCAUUUAAAUGAUGAAAGUAUUUUAUCUUCUCAAGAAUAUUAUUAUUUACAGUAUAUUACAGGCCAGAAGGAAAGAUGACAGCAUGCAAAAGAAUGGAUGUGUGGUCAAACGGUAUCAUUUUAAAUCUGUGACUAUCAAACCUAAGCCAAAAGCAUUUUGUUUUGUAACUCUGACUGGAAUUUAUCAAGAUCGGUUUGGGUUCUAUCACUAGUUAUACUUUGAGUGGAAUUGCGUUAUCGUCCGAAGGAUCGAGCCAAAAAAUUGUUAGACAAAUGAAGAGAGUAAUUUUAAGAAUCUGCCUUUGAACUAUAAGAAAAGAAACUUAUGGAAUGAUCAAACUACAUUAUUUUCUCCGUCUAUUUGGUAGAAACUAUACAGAUCCAGAAUUGAAUCUCAAAAAGUGACAACAAGCAGCUGGUUUGAGACAAUACAGUGUCGUCAUUGCAUACGACAGUAUAAUCUUUCCUGUGCCAUAAAUAUUACUGCUUCAUUCUUCAAUUAAAAGAUUCGUUCCAUUAAAUAAAGAAAGAACUCACCUGAUCGACCAACAGUUGUCCAAGCGCCGAGGCACCCAUGGCCAUCCUCGCCACUCCCCAAAACGUGUCGGGUCGGAAGACGUCGAUGGUGUUUACGGGCACAACCGGUAACUUUCCCGUUCCCAGGGAAACCACCACUUCUAUUCUGUAUUUAUCACCCUGAAAUUUAUAUUAAUUUUGUAAUUUGAGACAGUUAUAAGAACAUUUUUAGCAUCUGUUAUGGUAGUUUUAAUUCUAUAGUUUUUUCUUCUAAAAAUUGAUAGUAAACUUUAAAUGUAUGUCAUUGUAAAGAUACGGUAACAUGAAAAAUGUAAGCCUAAAAUUUUUUAAUAAUAAACAUAUAGAAAUUCAAAAA